This 1032-nucleotide ribosomal RNA is filed under the name Triticum aestivum (bread wheat). RNAcentral describes it as "partial small subunit ribosomal RNA". The record is from RNAcentral. Lineage: Eukaryota; Viridiplantae; Streptophyta; Magnoliopsida; Poales; Poaceae.
AUGGGGGGUUUAGGCGUCUUAGAUCUUGAUAUUAUGAACAUCUGCUUACUGUGCAAAUGGAUCUGGAAACUUGAAAAUUGUAGUGGUAAACCUGGUCAUUCUCAUUUCUGGCAGGGCCUAAUGAAGGUUAAACCAAUUUUCCUGCAAUAUUGUAGGAAGAUGGUGGGUAAUGGGGAAAGGACUAUGUUUUGGAGUGAUGUAUGGCUGGGAGACAAACCUCUUAGUGUGCAAUUCCCUAGGCUUUAUCUGCUGACCUUUAGUUUAGAUUUUACUUUCGCCAAAGCUUUAUCUGAUAAUAUGAGUUUGAUUAGAUUUAGAAGAGUUUUGUGGGGAGACACAGCUGAUAUGUGGUAUGAACUAAAAAAUCUAUGCAGUAAAGUAGUUUUAAACGAUCAAGAGGAUAGAUGUAGCUGGCUACUAACUAAAUCAGGUAGAUUCACUGUUAGAUCUUUGUACCUUGCUUUAAAAACAGAUCAGGCUGCCUGGCCUCAUAGGAAACUGUGGCAGGCGAGGAUACCGCUGAAAGUUAAAGUUUUCCUGUGGUUGAUGUUUAAGAAUAGUGUUCUAACUAGAGAUAAUUUGGCGAAAAGAAACUGGAAAGGAAAGGAUAAAAACUAUAGCUUCUGUGAUUACCCAGAAACGGUUGAACUUCUUUUCUGUGCAUGUGUGGUGGCUAAGUUUGUGUGGGGUGUGGUUAGGAAUGUAACUGGAAUUCAUGACAUUCCAUGCAAGAUAGAAGAGUUUACUGCCUGGGUAGAAAAAAUUCCUAAGAAUAUUAGACAAACAAUAGCAGCGGGUGUUUCUGCGGUGUUUUGGACUUUGUGGAAAGCCAGGAAUGCUGCUACGUUUCAUCAUGUUUACCCGCAUGAUCCUAGUAUGUUGUUCUUUCAAAUCUCUUAUUGGAUGUCCUACUGCACUGGUCUACAGAGAAAAGAAGGGCAACGGAUGUUGCAGGCCGUCACAGCACUGCUGGUUGAUGUUGCGAACGGGUUCUUCAACAAGAGCAGAGGAUAUGAUGGGCGCCCAUGGUGA